RNAcentral lists this ribosomal RNA (433 nucleotides) under uncultured bacterium. RNAcentral describes it as "partial 16S ribosomal RNA". It matches the Rfam family "Bacterial small subunit ribosomal RNA", at positions 29 to 507 of the family's 1533-position model. The record is from RNAcentral.
AACGAACGCUGGCGGCAUGCCUAACACAUGCAAGUCGAACGAGACCUUCGGGUCUAGUGGCGCACGGGUGCGUAACGCGUGGGAACCUGCCUUUAGGUUCGGAAUAACUCAGAGAAAUUCGAGCUAAUACCGGAUGAUGUCUUCGGACCAAAGAUUUAUCGCCUUUAGAUGGGCCCGCGUUGGAUUAGCUAGUUGGUGGGGUAAAGGCCUACCAAGGCGACGAUCCAUAGCUGGUCUGAGAGGAUGAUCAGCCACACUGGGACUGAGACACGGCCCAGACUCCUACGGGAGGCAGCAGUGGGGAAUAUUGGACAAUGGGCGAAAGCCUGAUCCAGCAAUGCCGCGUGAGUGAUGAAGGCCUUAGGGUUGUAAAGCUCUUUUACCCGAGAUGAUAAUGACAGUAUCGGGAGAAUAAGCUCCGGCUAACUCCGUG